RNAcentral lists this non-coding RNA (98 nucleotides) under Teichococcus deserti. RNAcentral describes it as "Roseomonas deserti Glycine riboswitch aptamer". It matches the Rfam family "Glycine riboswitch aptamer", at positions 8 to 87 of the family's 94-position model. From Rfam's summary of the family: This family represents the bacterial glycine riboswitch. Glycine riboswitches usually consist of two metabolite-binding aptamers domains with similar structures in tandem. The record is from Rfam by way of RNAcentral. Lineage: Bacteria; Pseudomonadati; Pseudomonadota; Alphaproteobacteria; Acetobacterales; Roseomonadaceae. RNAcentral also lists the same sequence under 1 other name.
CCUCUGGAAAGCCCGGCGACCGUCACCGACGGAAGCUGGCACCGACGGAGUAAGGCGCGAAACGCCCGCGCUGAAUCUCUCAGGUCAUCGGACAGAGG